Molecule: non-coding RNA, 241 nt
Filed under: Marinobacterium lacunae
Lineage: Bacteria; Pseudomonadati; Pseudomonadota; Gammaproteobacteria; Oceanospirillales; Oceanospirillaceae
Also listed under: 1 other name
Source: RNAcentral
AAUUGCGCCCAUGCUUUUGGUGAGCCAGGCCUUUGCAGAGAUGCAGGUCUGGAACUUAAUCGGGAAGCCGGUGCGUGAAACCCCAGGGUUUCGCAAUGCCGGCGCUGCCCCCGCAACGGUAGAGGAGUGGGAACAGCCUAAGCCACUGUAUCGCAGGAUAUGGGAAGGCGCUGUUCUUGGAUGCAGGCGAUGCCUGAAUCGACUCCUGAGCCCGGAGACCGGCCAGAAGCGUUAGCAGUCG